RNAcentral lists this ribosomal RNA (365 nucleotides) under uncultured soil bacterium. RNAcentral describes it as "bacterial SSU rRNA". It matches the Rfam family "Bacterial small subunit ribosomal RNA", at positions 26 to 383 of the family's 1533-position model. The record is from RNAcentral.
AGGACGAACGCUGGCGGCGUGCUUAACACAUGCAAGUGGAGCGACGAACCAGGCUUCGGCCUGGGGCAAAGCCGCGAACGGGUGAGUAACACGUGGGUAACCUGCCCCGACGAUCGGGACAACCCGGGGAAACUCGGGCUAAUACCGAAUAUGCUCGUCUCACACCAGUGGGACGCGUAAAGGAAGCUUCGGCCUCCGCAUCGGGAUGGGCCCGCGGCCCAUUAGCUUGUUGGUGAGGUAACGGCUCACCAAGGCUGCGAUGGGUAGCUGGUCUGAGAGGACGAUCAGCCACACUGGGACUGAGACACGGCCCAGACUCCUACGGGAGGCAGCAGUGGGAAUCGUUGCGCAAUGCGACGAAAGCG